UACGUAGGGGGCAAGCGUUGUCCGGAAUCAUUGGGCGUAAAGAGCGUGUAGGCGGUUCGGUAAGUCUACUGUGAAAGUCCAGGGCUCAACCCUGGAAAGCCGGUGGAUACUGUCGGACUAGAGUGCGGAAGAGGCGAGUGGAAUUCCCGGUGUAGCGGUGAAAUGCGCAGAUAUCGGGAGGAACACCAAUUGCGAAGGCAGCUCGCUGGGACGUGACUGACGCUGAGACGCGAAAGCGUGGGGAGCAAACAGG
This 253-nucleotide ribosomal RNA is filed under the name uncultured bacterium. RNAcentral's name for it is "partial 16S ribosomal RNA". It matches the Rfam family "Bacterial small subunit ribosomal RNA", at positions 524 to 776 of the family's 1533-position model. The record is from RNAcentral.